GAUGAACGCUGGCGGCGUGCCUAAUACAUGCAAGUCGAGCGAACGGACGAGAAGCUUGCUUCUCUGAUGUUAGUGGCGGACGGGUGAGUAACACGUGGAUAACCUACCUAUAAGACUGGGAUAACUUCGGGAAACCGGAGCUAAUACCGGAUAAUAUUUUGAACCGCAUGGUUCAAAAGUGAAAGACGGUCUUGCUGUCACUUAUAGAUGGAUCCGCGCUGCAUUAGCUAGUUGGUAAGGUAACGGCUUACCAAGGCAACGAUGCAUAGCCGACCUGAGAGGGUGAUCGGCCACACUGGAACUGAGACACGGUCCAGACUCCUACGGGAGGCAGCAGUAGGGAAUCUUCCGCAAUGGGCGAAAGCCUGACGGAGCAACGCCGCGUGAGUGAUGAAGGUCUUCGGAUCGUAAAACUCUGUUAUUAGGGAAGAACAUAUGUGUAAGUAACUGUGCACAUCUUGACGGUACCUAAUCAGAAAGCCACGGCUAACUACGUGCCAGCAGCCGCGGUAAUACGUAGGUGGCAAGCGUUAUCCGGAAUUAUUGGGCGUAAAGCGCGCGUAGGCGGUUUUUUAAGUCUGAUGUGAAAGCCCACGGCUCAACCGUGGAGGGUCAUUGGAAACUGGAAAACUUGAGUGCAGAAGAGGAAAGUGGAAUUCCAUGUGUAGCGGUGAAAUGCGCAGAGAUAUGGAGGAACACCAGUGGCGAAGGCGACUUUCUGGUCUGUAACUGACGCUGAUGUGCGAAAGCGUGGGGAUCAAACAGGAUUAGAUACCCUGGUAGUCCACGCCGUAAACGAUGAGUGCUAAGUGUUAGGGGGUUUCCGCCCCUUAGUGCUGCAGCUAACGCAUUAAGCACUCCGCCUGGGGAGUACGACCGCAAGGUUGAAACUCAAAGGAAUUGACGGGGACCCGCACAAGCGGUGGAGCAUGUGGUUUAAUUCGAAGCAACGCGAAGAACCUUACCAAAUCUUGACAUCCUUUGACAACUCUAGAGAUAGAGCUUUCCCCUUCGGGGGACAAAGUGACAGGUGGUGCAUGGUUGUCGUCAGCUCGUGUCGUGAGAUGUUGGGUUAAGUCCCGCAACGAGCGCAACCCUUAAGCUUAGUUGCCAUCAUUAAGUUGGGCACUCUAAGUUGACUGCCGGUGACAAACCGGAGGAAGGUGGGGAUGACGUCAAAUCAUCAUGCCCCUUAUGAUUUGGGCUACACACGUGCUACAAUGGACAAUACAAAGGGCAGCGAAACCGUGAGGUCAAGCAAAUCCCAUAAAGUUGUUCUCAGUUCGGAUUGUAGUCUGCAACUCGACUACAUGAAGCUGGAAUCGCUAGUAAUCGUAGAUCAGCAUGCUACGGUGAAUACGUUCCCGGGUCU
RNAcentral lists this ribosomal RNA (1372 nucleotides) under uncultured bacterium. RNAcentral's name for it is "bacterial SSU rRNA". It matches the Rfam family "Bacterial small subunit ribosomal RNA", at positions 28 to 1381 of the family's 1533-position model. The record is from RNAcentral.